GCACACGCGGACGGUUCCUGUUCCGCCUCGAAGCGAUCCGGGGCUCCAACUCUAGCGACCAGUUCCUCGGUCUCUGUGGCGGUGGUGGCAGAGCCCGCGCAACGAGAGGGUGGUGGUGUGCGUGUCCUCCCAUGCUUGCAACCUUCCACCCCCUGUUCGAAUGAUGUGAUCUCAAGUAGAGAUUGGAAAUGCCUCUUGUGGCCCAGGAAGCUGAUACUUUUUGGAAGCUGAUACAAUGAACAGAGAGAUUGAGUUGCUCAUAACCAUACAGGAGUCCUGAGGAAACAACCUAUGCGUUCUCCUCCGGUUACACAAAACUCAUCUGGGAGGCAUCACAAUUUUUGAAGUUGCCAUGACACCAACUCAGAUGACGCCAGAAUUUUGAGUUCCGUAAGUUUGCCAAGAGUCAUUAUAGUUUGUUUAACUCUAGUUUGUUUAACUCAUGCAAGUAGAGACUCUGUUUCUAUAAUUCGAAUCUGAUCGAAUGAGCAGUGUUUAUCUGGUGAUUCGUACAAUCCAAUCCGAGGAUAGUACGGAUCGUGACCUUUUGUCUUGACCAUCGUAGCAUUAUGAGAUCAUCAAUUUUGUAUCUUAGAUUUACUUCA
Long non-coding RNA from Musa acuminata AAA Group (dessert banana), 605 nucleotides. RefSeq lists it as uncharacterized. The record is from RefSeq and is a predicted model, not a curated record. The transcript has 3 exons. Lineage: Eukaryota; Viridiplantae; Streptophyta; Magnoliopsida; Zingiberales; Musaceae.